AGAUUGAACGCUGGCGGCAGGCCUAACACAUGCAAGUCGAGCGGCAGCACGGGUACUUGUACCUGGUGGCGAGCGGCGGACGGGUGAGUAAUGCCUAGGAAUCUGCCUGGUAGUGGGGGGAUAACGCUCGGAAACGGACGCUAAUACCGCAUACGUCCUACGGGAGAAAGCAGGGGACCUUCGGGCCUUGCGCUAUCAGAUGAGCCUAGGUCGGAUUAGCUAGUUGGUGA
Molecule: ribosomal RNA, 230 nt
Filed under: uncultured soil bacterium
Lineage: Bacteria
Description: partial 16S ribosomal RNA
Rfam family: Bacterial small subunit ribosomal RNA
Source: RNAcentral